This 2909-nucleotide ribosomal RNA is filed under the name Providencia stuartii. RNAcentral's name for it is "23S ribosomal RNA". It matches the Rfam family "Bacterial large subunit ribosomal RNA". The record is from RNAcentral. Lineage: Bacteria; Pseudomonadati; Pseudomonadota; Gammaproteobacteria; Enterobacterales; Morganellaceae.
GGUUAAGCGACUAAGCGUACACGGUGGAUGCCUAGGCAAUCAGAGGCGAUGAAGGACGUGCUAAUCUGCGAAAAGCGUCGGUAAGGUGAUAUGAACCGUUAUAACCGACGAUGUCCGAAUGGGGAAACCCAGUGCAAUUCGUUGCACUAUCGUUUGAUGAAUCCAUAGUCAAACGAGGCGAACCGGGGGAACUGAAACAUCUCAGUACCCCGAGGAAAAGAAAUCAACCGAGAUUCCCCUAGUAGCGGCGAGCGAACGGGGAGCAGCCCAGAGUCUUAAUCAGCAUCAGCAUUAGGAGAACGGUCUGGAAAGGCCGGCAAUAAAGGGUGAUAGCCCCGUAUCCGAAGGUGUUGGUGUUGUGAACUCGACGAGUAGGGCGGGACACGUGUUAUCCUGUCUGAAUAUGGGGGGACCAUCCUCCAAGGCUAAAUACUCCUGAUUGACCGAUAGUGAACCAGUACCGUGAGGGAAAGGCGAAAAGAACCCCGGCGAGGGGAGUGAAAUAGAACCUGAAACCGUGUACGUACAAGCAGUGGGAGCCUUGAUUUAUCAGGGUGACUGCGUACCUUUUGUAUAAUGGGUCAGCGACUUAUAUUCUGUAGCAAGGUUAACCGAAUAGGGGAGCCGUAGGGAAACCGAGUCUUAACUGGGCGAAUGAGUUGCAGGGUAUAGACCCGAAACCCGGUGAUCUAGCCAUGGGCAGGUUGAAGGUUGGGUAACACUAACUGGAGGACCGAACCGACUAAUGUUGAAAAAUUAGCGGAUGACUUGUGGCUGGGGGUGAAAGGCCAAUCAAACCGGGAGAUAGCUGGUUCUCCCCGAAAGCUAUUUAGGUAGCGCCUCGUGAACUCAUCUUCGGGGGUAGAGCACUGUUUCGGCUAGGGGGUCAUCCCGACUUACCAACCCGAUGCAAACUACGAAUACCGAAGAAUGUUAUCACGGGAGACACACGGCGGGUGCUAACGUUCGUCGUGAAGAGGGAAACAACCCAGACCGCCAGCUAAGGUCCCAAAGUCAUGGUUAAGUGGGAAACGAAGUGGGAAGGCUCAGACAGCCAGGAUGUUGGCUUAGAAGCAGCCAUCAUUUAAAGAAAGCGUAAUAGCUCACUGGUCGAGUCGGCCUGCGCGGAAGAUGUAACGGGGCUAAACCAUGCACCGAAGCUGCGGCAGCGACAUGUAAAUGUUGUUGGGUAGGGGAGCGUUCUGUAAGCCUGUGAAGGUGUGCUGCGAGGCAUGCUGGAGGUAUCAGAAGUGCGAAUGCUGACAUAAGUAACGAUAAUGCGGGUGAAAAACCCGCACGCCGGAAGACCAAGGGUUCCUGUCCAACGUUAAUCGGGGCAGGGUGAGUCGACCCCUAAGGCGAGGCAGAAAUGCGUAGUCGAUGGGAAACAGGUUAAUAUUCCUGUACUGGUGAUAAUUGCGAUGGGGGGACGGAGAAGGCUAGGCUGGCCGGGCGACGGUUGUCCCGGUUUAAGGAUGUAGGUGGGCGAAUUAGGCAAAUCCGGUUCGCUAUACACUGAGGUCUGAUGACGAGUCACUACGGUGGCGAAGUAGCUCAUGCCCCGCUUCCAGGAAAAGCCUCUAAGCUCUAGAUUAUCAUUAAUCGUACCCCAAACCGACACAGGUGGUCAGGUAGAGAAUACUCAGGCGCUUGAGAGAACUCGGGUGAAGGAACUAGGCAAAAUGGUGCCGUAACUUCGGGAGAAGGCACGCUGGCAUUAGGUGAAGUGGUUUACCCAUGGAGCUGAAGCCAGUCGCAGAUACCAGCUGGCUGCAACUGUUUAUUAAAAACACAGCACUGUGCAAACACGAAAGUGGACGUAUACGGUGUGACGCCUGCCCGGUGCUGGAAGGUUAAUUGAUGGGGUUAUCCGUAAGGAGAAGCUCUUGAUCGAAGCCCCAGUAAACGGCGGCCGUAACUAUAACGGUCCUAAGGUAGCGAAAUUCCUUGUCGGGUAAGUUCUGACCUGCACGAAUGGCGUAAUGAUGGCCAGGCUGUCUCCACCCGAGACUCAGUGAAAUUGAACUCGCUGUGAAGAUGCAGUGUACCCGCGGCAAGACGGAAAGACCCCGUGAACCUUUACUAUAGCUUGACACUGAACAUUGAGCCUUGAUGUGUAGGAUAGGUGGGAGGCUUUGAAGUGUGGACGCCAGUCUGCAUGGAGCCAACCUUGAAAUACCACCCUUUAAUGUUUGAUGUUCUAACGUAGCCCCAUAAUCUGGGGUGCGGACAGUGUCUGGUGGGUAGUUUGACUGGGGCGGUCUCCUCCCAAAGCGUAACGGAGGAGCACGAAGGUUGGCUAAGCAUGGUCGGACAUCAUGCGGUUAGUGCAAAGGCAUAAGCCAGCUUGACUGCGAGAGUGACGGCUCGAGCAGGUACGAAAGUAGGUCUUAGUGAUCCGGUGGUUCUGAAUGGAAGGGCCAUCGCUCAACGGAUAAAAGGUACUCCGGGGAUAACAGGCUGAUACCGCCCAAGAGUUCAUAUCGACGGCGGUGUUUGGCACCUCGAUGUCGGCUCAUCACAUCCUGGGGCUGAAGUAGGUCCCAAGGGUAUGGCUGUUCGCCAUUUAAAGUGGUACGCGAGCUGGGUUUAGAACGUCGUGAGACAGUUCGGUCCCUAUCUGCCGUGGGCGUUGGAAGAUUGAAAGGGGCUGCUCCUAGUACGAGAGGACCGGAGUGGACGCACCGCUGGUGUUCGGGUUGUCAUGCCAAUGGCACUGCCCGGUAGCUAAGUGCGGAAGAGAUAACCGCUGAAAGCAUCUAAGCGGGAAACUUGCCUUGAGAUGAGUCUUCCCUGACUCUUUAAGGGUCCUAAAGGAACGUUUAAGACGAAGACGUUGAUAGGCUGGGUGUGUAAGCGUAGCGAUACGUUGAGCUAACCAGUACUAAUGAACCGUGAGGCUUAACCUG